UUAANACAUGCAAGUCGAGGGGUAGAAGGAGCUUGCUCCUUUGAGACCCGGCGCACGGGGUGCGUAACGCGUAUGCAAUCUACCUUUUGCAGAGGGAUAGCCCAGAGAAAUUUGGAUUAAUACCUCAUAGUAUGUGAGGAUGGCAUCAUUUUCACAUUAAAGUCACAACGGCAAAAAGAUGAGCAUGGCGUCCCAUUAGCUAGUUGGUAAGGUAACGGCUUACCAAGGCUACGAUGGGUAGGGGUCCUGAGAGGGAGAUCCCCCCACACUGGUACUGAGACACGGACCAGACUCCUACGGGAGGCAGCAGUGAGGAAUAUUGGACAAUGGGCGCAAGCCUGAUCCAGCCAUGCCGCGUGCAGGAUGACGGUCCUAUGGAUUGUAAACUGCUUUUAUACAGGAAGAAACACUACUUCGUGAAGUAGCUUGACGGUACUGUAAGAAUAAGGAUCGGCUAACUCCGUG
This 465-nucleotide ribosomal RNA is filed under the name uncultured bacterium. RNAcentral describes it as "bacterial SSU rRNA". It matches the Rfam family "Bacterial small subunit ribosomal RNA", at positions 48 to 507 of the family's 1533-position model. The record is from RNAcentral.